This 251-nucleotide ribosomal RNA is filed under the name uncultured bacterium. Its description in RNAcentral is "partial 16S ribosomal RNA". It matches the Rfam family "Bacterial small subunit ribosomal RNA", at positions 524 to 776 of the family's 1533-position model. The record is from RNAcentral.
UACGUAGGGGGCUAGCGUUGUCCGGAUUUAUUGGCGUAAAGAGCGUGUAGGCGGCCAGAUAGGUCUGCUGUGAAAACUCGAGGCUCAACCUCGAGAUGUCGGCGGAAACCAUUUGGCUAGAGUCCGGAAGAGGAAAGUGGAAUUCCUGGUGUAGCGGUGAAAUGCGCAGAUAUCAGGAAGAACACCCGUGGCGAAGGCGGCUUUCUGGGACGGUACUGACGCUGAGACGCGAAAGCGUGGGAGCGAACAGG